Molecule: ribosomal RNA, 469 nt
Filed under: uncultured bacterium
Lineage: Bacteria
Description: bacterial SSU rRNA
Rfam family: Bacterial small subunit ribosomal RNA
Source: RNAcentral
UGCCAGACUCCUACGGGAGGCAGCAGUGAGGAAUAUUGGUCAAUGGGCUUACGCCUGAACCAGCCAAGUCGCGUGAGGGAAGACUGCCCUAUGGGUUGUAAACCUCUUUUGUCAGGGAGCAAUUGGCGCUACGUGUAGCGUUAUCGAGAGUACCUGAAGAAAAAGCAUCGGCUAACUCCGUGCCAGCAGCCGCGGUAAUACGGAGGAUGCGAGCGUUAUCCGGAUUUACUGGGUGUAAAGGGAGCGUAGACGGACUUGCAAGUCUGAUGUGAAAAUCCGGGGCCCAACCCCGGAACUGCAUUGGAAACUGUAUAUCUAGAGUGUCGGAGAGGCAAGUGGAAUUCCUGGUGUAGCGGUGAAAUGCGUAGAUAUCAGGAGGAACACCAGUGGCGAAGGCGGCUUGCUGGACGAUGACUGACGUUGAGGCUCGAAAGCGUGGGGAGCAAACAGGAUUAGAUACCCCCGUAAG